GACGAACGCUGGCGGCGUGCUUAACACAUGCAAGUCGAACGAAGAGCGAUGGAAGCUUGCUUCUAUCAAUCUUAGUGGCGAACGGGUGAGUAACGCGUAAUCAACCUGCCCUUCAGAGGGGGACAACAGUUGGAAACGACUGCUAAUACCGCAUACGAUCUAAUCUCGGCAUCGAGGAUAGAUGAAAGGUGGCCUCUACAUGUAAGCUAUCACUGAAGGAGGGGAUUGCGUCUGAUUAGCUAGUUGGAGGGGUAACGGCCCACCAAGGCGAUGAUCAGUAGCCGGUCUGAGAGGAUGAACGGCCACAUUGGGACUGGGACACGGCCCAGACUCCUACGGGAGGCAGCAGUGGGGAAUCUUCCGCAAUGGACGAAAGUCUGACGGAGCAACGCCGCGUGAGUGAUGACGGCCUUCGGGUUGUAAAGCUCUGUUAAUCGGGACGAAAGGCCUUCUUGCGAAUAGUGAGAAGGAUUGACGGUACCGGAAUAGAAAGCCACGGCUAACUACGUG
This 510-nucleotide ribosomal RNA is filed under the name uncultured bacterium. Its description in RNAcentral is "partial 16S ribosomal RNA". It matches the Rfam family "Bacterial small subunit ribosomal RNA", at positions 28 to 507 of the family's 1533-position model. The record is from RNAcentral.